GACGAACGCUGGCGGCGUGCUUAACACAUGCAAGUCGAGCGGUAAGGCCCUUUCGGGGGUACACGAGCGGCGAACGGGUGAGUAACACGUGGGUGACCUGCCUUUAGCUCUGGGAUAAGCCUGGGAAACCGGGUCUAAUACCGGAUAUGACUCCGCGGCGCAUGUUGUGGGGUGGAAAGCCUUGUGCGGCUGGAGAUGGGCCCGCGGCCUAUCAGCUUGUUGGUGGGGUGANGGCCUACCAAGGCGACGACGGGUAGCCGGCCUGAGAGGGCGACCGGCCACACUGGGACUGAGACACGGCCCAGACUCCCACGGGAGGCAGCAGUGGGGAAUCUUGCGCAAUGGGCGAAAGCCUGACGCAGCGACGCCGCGUGAGGGAUGACGGCCUCGGUUGUAA
This 397-nucleotide ribosomal RNA is filed under the name uncultured bacterium. Its description in RNAcentral is "bacterial SSU rRNA". It matches the Rfam family "Bacterial small subunit ribosomal RNA", at positions 28 to 428 of the family's 1533-position model. The record is from RNAcentral.